This 338-nucleotide ribosomal RNA is filed under the name uncultured bacterium. RNAcentral's name for it is "bacterial SSU rRNA". It matches the Rfam family "Bacterial small subunit ribosomal RNA", at positions 43 to 372 of the family's 1533-position model. The record is from RNAcentral.
GAAUUCGAUUCAGGCCUAACACAUGCAGAGUCGAACGGCAGCACGGAUUUCGGUCUGGUGGCGAGUGGCGAACGGGUGAGUAAUAUAUCGGAACGUGCCCAGUCGUGGGGGAUAGCGUAGUGAAAAUUACGCUAAUACCGCAUACGAUCUAUGGAUGAAAGCGGGGGAUCGCAAGACCUCGCGCGAUUGGAGCGGCCGAUAUCAGAUUAGGUAGUUGGUGAGGUAAAGGCUCACCAAGCCGACGAUCUGUAGCUGGUCUGAGAGGACGACCAGCCACACUGGAACUGAGACACGGUCCAGACUCCUACGGGAGGCAGCAGUGGGGAAUUUUGGACAAU